This 909-nucleotide ribosomal RNA is filed under the name Klebsiella pneumoniae. Its description in RNAcentral is "bacterial SSU rRNA". It matches the Rfam family "Bacterial small subunit ribosomal RNA", at positions 611 to 1520 of the family's 1533-position model. The record is from RNAcentral. Lineage: Bacteria; Pseudomonadati; Pseudomonadota; Gammaproteobacteria; Enterobacterales; Enterobacteriaceae.
AACCUGGGAACUGCAUUCGAAACUGGCAGGCUAGAGUCUUGUAGAGGGGGGUAGAAUUCCAGGUGUAGCGGUGAAAUGCGUAGAGAUCUGGAGGAAUACCGGUGGCGAAGGCGGCCCCCUGGACAAAGACUGACGCUCAGGUGCGAAAGCGUGGGGAGCAAACAGGAUUAGAUACCCUGGUAGUCCACGCCGUAAACGAUGUCGAUUUGGAGGUUGUGCCCUUGAGGCGUGGCUUCCGGAGCUAACGCGUUAAAUCGACCGCCUGGGGAGUACGGCCGCAAGGUUAAAACUCAAAUGAAUUGACGGGGGCCCGCACAAGCGGUGGAGCAUGUGGUUUAAUUCGAUGCAACGCGAAGAACCUUACCUGGUCUUGACAUCCACAGAACUUAGCAGAGAUGCUUUGGUGCCUUCGGGAACUGUGAGACAGGUGCUGCAUGGCUGUCGUCAGCUCGUGUUGUGAAAUGUUGGGUUAAGUCCCGCAACGAGCGCAACCCUUAUCCUUUGUUGCCAGCGGUCCGGCCGGGAACUCAAAGGAGACUGCCAGUGAUAAACUGGAGGAAGGUGGGGAUGACGUCAAGUCAUCAUGGCCCUUACGACCAGGGCUACACACGUGCUACAAUGGCAUAUACAAAGAGAAGCGACCUCGCGAGAGCAAGCGGACCUCAUAAAGUAUGUCGUAGUCCGGAUUGGAGUCUGCAACUCGACUCCAUGAAGUCGGAAUCGCUAGUAAUCGUAGAUCAGAAUGCUACGGUGAAUACGUUCCCGGGCCUUGUACACACCGCCCGUCACACCAUGGGAGUGGGUUGCAAAAGAAGUAGGUAGCUUAACCUUCGGGAGGGCGCUUACCACUUUGUGAUUCAUGACUGGGGUGAAGUCGUAACAAGGUAACCGUAGGGGAACCUGCGGUUG